This 253-nucleotide ribosomal RNA is filed under the name uncultured bacterium. Its description in RNAcentral is "partial 16S ribosomal RNA". It matches the Rfam family "Bacterial small subunit ribosomal RNA", at positions 524 to 776 of the family's 1533-position model. The record is from RNAcentral.
UACGUAGGGAGCGAGCGUUGUCCGGAAUUACUGGGUGUAAAGGGAGCGUAGGCGGUUUGAUAAGUUAGAGGUGAAAUGUCGGGGCUCAACCCCGAAACUGCCUCUAAUACUGUUGGACUAGAGAAUAGUUGCGGUAGGCGGAAUGUAUGGUGUAGCGGUGAAAUGCUUAGAGAUCAUACAGAACACCGAUUGCGAAGGCAGCUUACCAAACUAUAUCUGACGUUGAGGCACGAAAGCGUGGGUAGCAAACAGG